CAUCCUUUCCAGAAGCCAUCGCCUCUGGACUUGGUGGUGACAGGAGCAGCAUUAGGGUUUGGUGAAGGGUCAGUGCUGUAUAUACACCAACUGGUGCACCAGUUAGUUAA
Neltuma alba is the source of this 110-nucleotide long non-coding RNA. RefSeq lists it as uncharacterized. NCBI's taxonomy places the organism in Eukaryota, Viridiplantae, Streptophyta, Magnoliopsida, Fabales, Fabaceae. The record is from RefSeq and is a predicted model, not a curated record. The transcript is spliced from 3 exons.